This is a long non-coding RNA of Melanotaenia boesemani (Boeseman's rainbowfish), 775 nucleotides long. RefSeq lists it as uncharacterized. The record is from RefSeq and is a predicted model, not a curated record. Lineage: Eukaryota; Metazoa; Chordata; Actinopteri; Atheriniformes; Melanotaeniidae. The transcript has 7 exons.
GAAACUGGACGUGACUAAAGCGCUGGAGAACUGGAGGUCAACUGGUGGUGGUAGCAGUAACAGAGGAGCUGUGGAACCACACACUUCACAGCAUUUUCCUACAGCCAAUCUAAAGUUUCUAUAACUGUCAGCAUGAUGAGGAUCGCGAGGAGACCAGAAUGCCUGUACACCCUGAGGGUGUGUGCAGUGCACACCUGAAAGUUGGCAAGGUGAUGGAGAAAGUGGUUGAACUGACUGAAGCUGUGGAGAACAGAUUGGCUGCAGGAGCAGUAACAUCAGCGACUCUGCAGCAGAUUCCUACAACCCAUCUCGUGAGGUAAAAAGGAUCCACAGGAGUCUGGAGGAUGGGCACAAAUACAGAGGAAAUGAGAGGUUCACGUCUGAGCACAACUCCGGUGGCACAAAUUCAAUGUUGUGGACAAUUGCAGAUGAAGAGGAAUGUGACACCUCUUUGAUCAGAAGAGCAACAGAUACUUUGAGAACAUCAGGAGGGAAUCUAAGUUGUCAGAAGACAAAGUGGAAGAGGAUCAGAGGGCCAAAGCUCUCAACAACCGAAGACAUAGACUUUUCAAUUCAAGCCGAUCUGCUGCUUGCUCAUCUUAACCAAUGAGGAGUACAGAUACCUGGAACGGGCGCCUGCAUGCAUGAUGAGCGACGAGGAGACGGACACUGAAGACAAAGACGUGUGGAAAGCAUGUCCACCUGAAUGGAGGGCAACAAGACUCACCGACAUGUUAGAAAGGUGUCAGCACCACCUCGUUGACCUACAAAAGAU